Molecule: long non-coding RNA, 1877 nt
Organism: Ailuropoda melanoleuca (giant panda)
Lineage: Eukaryota; Metazoa; Chordata; Mammalia; Carnivora; Ursidae
Exons: 4
Source: RefSeq, a predicted model, not a curated record
GCAUGAUCCAUUUCCAUGAAAUGUCCAGAAUAGGCCAGUGCAUAGCGACAGAAAGUAGGCUAGGUGUUGUCAGGGAGGCGGCGGUGUGGGGGAUGCGAAGUGACUGCGUGUGCGAUUCUUUGAGGGGUGAAUUCUAUGGUAUGUGUAUUAUAUCUCAAAAAAAAUAAUAGGUUUAUAUGUUUAUAUGCAAGGAAUUCACCAUUCCAACGCACACAAUACGCUGUCACAUCACUUAGGAGACAAAUCCAGAAGUUGAAAUGCAGAGCCUUUCGUGAAUGGGAAGUGAGGCUGGAGGGACCUACUGCCUUCUCUUCAGUGUGUGACUCAUUGAAUAUUGCCUCGAAAAUUCAGGGACCUCAACCACAGCGGACCUCUGCCACAGGGACCAGAGGUCAACAGCCACAGUCAGGAAGCGGUGGUCCACCUUGUGAUGGAUCAAGAGGGUCAACAGUAGCCCAGCCCUACGUCAGAGUGCCUGCGUCAUUCAUGUCACUUCAUCUCAUUUUGCAGGAAUUUUAUCACCUCAUGUCAUCACCAGAAGGAGCACAAGCAGGGGGAGCGGCAGGGGGAGAGGGAGAAGCAGGGAGCCGGAUGCGAUGCGGGGCUCCAACCCAGGACCUGGGAUCAUGACCUGAGCCGAAGACAGACGCUUAACCAACCGAGCCACUCAGGCGCCCCUAUUCCAGACUUUCUACUAAGGACUUUACUGAGAAAAUUGUCAAAAUAUGAAUAGAGUAAUAUCAUUAAAUGAUUUAGAGAUGAAAGGAUAUCAUCUGCAACCAACUAGGAAAUGAUUCAGAGAAAAAUAUGUGUAUAUUCGGAUUUAUGUAUUCACUAGAGAGAACAUAAUAUGCGGUGACAUGUUAACAUUUGGGGAAUUUGGGUGAAAAAUUUAAGAGAAUUCUUUGUACUCUUCUUGCAACUUUCCUACAAGUUUAAAAUUAUGUCAAACAACAACGAAAAGGUGAUAAGAAAUUAUAUCUUGGCAAACUUCCUUGGAUAUAAAAAUAUCAGUGGCAUAAGAAAAUUCACAGCUUUUCUCAUUUAGGUCCGAAUUAACAAAGAAUGUUAGCACCUGCUAACAACACAAAAAGAGAAAACCAGGUACCGCUUGCCUCUUGAUGAAGAGAAUAACAGCUGUCUCUGAAUAGGUCUGCAGAACUUCAGACCUGAACCUGAUUAAGCCUUAGACCCAACUAGCAAUUUGCAGCAAAAACAGAGAACAGAGGCAAAUCCAGACUAAGGAAAAUUCUAGAACAGUACCUCAUGUCUUCAACAAAUCAAAUGUAAAGGGGAAAAAAGAUAUAGGAAAACCUAUAGAUUAAAAGUGACUAUAUAUGUGUAUAUAUAUAUAAAACACUAUAUAUAAAAACUAUAUUAAGAAACUACGUAUAUUUAUAGAUAUAUUUUAUAGUGUUUAUGGAUGCACAUUUGGGUGAUAAAACUGCCAAGAAAUUGUAAGGACAUGAUUGCUGUAAAGGUCAGAAAGUGGUUAUUUUUUCUUGGGGUGGGGGGAACUGGGAUUGUUUCAGGCAGGGGCUCCUGGAGGCCUUAUAGGGUAUCUGACAAGGUUCCCCUCGUGGAGGGGAUGGUGAUUAUAGGGUGUUAGGGACAAUUCAUUUCUUUUAAGUUGUUUCCUAUAUUUUAACAAUAAAACCUGUUUUUGUUUUUGUUUUGUUUUUUUUAACUAUGUUCAUGUACUUGGCGAAACUAACAAAGCAAGGUCUCAGCGUUGCCACCUCAAGUUGCCUUUAGGAAUUGCACACUUCUCUCUGAAAUUGCCCGGUAAGGUUUAAAAUAAGUCAAGCAGAGAAAGACAAUUAUCAUAUGAUUUCUCUCAUCUAUGGAACAUAACAACUAGGAAGAUCGGUAGGGAA